This 400-nucleotide ribosomal RNA is filed under the name Paenibacillus sambharensis. RNAcentral's name for it is "Bacterial small subunit ribosomal RNA". It matches the Rfam family "Bacterial small subunit ribosomal RNA", at positions 1 to 387 of the family's 1533-position model. Lineage: Bacteria; Bacillati; Bacillota; Bacilli; Caryophanales; Paenibacillaceae. The record is from Rfam by way of RNAcentral.
UUAAUGGAGAGUUUGAUCCUGGCUCAGGACGAACGCUGGCGGCGUGCCUAAUACAUGCAAGUCGAGCGGAUCAAGGCGGAAGUUUACUUCUGCUGAGGUUAGCGGCGGACGGGUGAGUAACACGUAGGCAACCUGCCUGUAAGACUGGGAUAACAUCCGGAAACGGAUGCUAAUACCGGAUACGCGAUUUCCUCGCAUGGGGGGAUUGGGAAAGACGGAGCAAUCUGUCACUUACAGAUGGGCCUGCGGCGCAUUAGCUAGUUGGUGGGGUAAAGGCCUACCAAGGCGACGAUGCGUAGCCGACCUGAGAGGGUGAUCGGCCACACUGGGACUGAGACACGGCCCAGACUCCUACGGGAGGCAGCAGUAGGGAAUCUUCCGCAAUGGACGAAAGUCUGAC